AGGGUUCGAUUCUGGCUCAGGACGAACGCUGGCGGCGCGCCUAACACAUGCAAGUCGAACGGAGCAUUGAGAGCUUGCUUUUAAUGCUUAGUGGCGAACGGGUGAGUAACGCGUGAGUAACCUGCCCUGGAGUGGGGGACAACAGUUGGAAACGACUGCUAAUACCGCAUAAGCCCACGAUCCGGCAUCGGAUUGAGGGAAAAGGAUUUAUUCGCUUCAGGAUGGACUCGCGUCCAAUUAGCUAGUUGGUGAGGUAACGGCCCACCAAGGCGACGAUUGGUAGCCGGACUGAGAGGUUGAACGGCCACAUUGGGACUGAGACACGGCCCAG
Molecule: ribosomal RNA, 331 nt
Filed under: uncultured bacterium
Lineage: Bacteria
Description: bacterial SSU rRNA
Rfam family: Bacterial small subunit ribosomal RNA
Source: RNAcentral